UACGUAGGGGGCAAGCGUUGUCCGGAUUUAUUGGGCGUAAAGAGCGUGUAGGCGGCCAGGUAGGUCUGCUGUGAAAACUCGAGGCUCAACCUCGAGACGUCGGCGGAAACCAUCUGGCUAGAGUCCGGAAGAGGAGAGUGGAAUUCCACGUGUAGCGGUGAAAUGCGUAGAGAUGUGGAGGAACACCAGUGGCGAAGGCGACUCUCUGGUCUGUAACUGACGCUGAGGCGCGAAAGCGUGGGGAGCAAACAGG
Molecule: ribosomal RNA, 253 nt
Filed under: uncultured bacterium
Lineage: Bacteria
Description: partial 16S ribosomal RNA
Rfam family: Bacterial small subunit ribosomal RNA
Source: RNAcentral